Molecule: long non-coding RNA, 6530 nt
Organism: Panthera uncia (snow leopard)
Lineage: Eukaryota; Metazoa; Chordata; Mammalia; Carnivora; Felidae
Exons: 3
Source: RefSeq, a predicted model, not a curated record
GUUUGUGUCCACAUCGAGGCUGCUACCUAAGGAAAUGUCAUAGGCUGGGUGGGUCAGACAGCAGACUUUUAUUUCUGGCGGUCUAGAGACUGGAAGUCCUGAGAUCAGGGUGACCUCCUGGUUGGAUUCUCAGCGUGGGCUCUUCUCCUGGUUCUGUCGCCUUCAUCUUAUACUGUGGCCUUUCCUCGGUGCAUGCACACUCAGAGAUCCCACGUUUCUUUUCUUUUCUUCUUCUUUUUAAUCAGUUCCAUCAAGGGGCUCUACCCUCGUGAUCUUACCAAAACCCAUCUCUCAAAGACCCAGCCUCCAAACACCAUCCCACUAGUGAUGAGGGCUUCACCACCGGAAAUUUUGGAGGACACAGACAUUCAGUCCACAGCAGUGAGCAAGCAGCCAGGUACGCAGUUUGGAACCAGAAGAGAAAGAGAAACUAGGAGACACGCAAACAAAAGAAUCUAAGUCCAUUGUGCCAAUAUGCCUUUGAUUCCAAGGGAAAUGGCAACACAACACACAUACAGAAAAGCGUGCAUUAUUGGAAGCGUCUGAUUGGAUGGAUUCUUAUGAACGACAUACCCGUGUAAGCGGCGCUCAGAUCCAGAACCUGCUGAGAACUCAGAACCUUCCUGUGGUCCCUUCCUGUGAGAACGCCCCGAAAGGCAGCCCCAGGCCUGACUUGUAACACCACGGCUUGAGCUUCACCCUUGAUAAUCAUGCUACUACAAAAUUUGAAGCGAUGUUUUUAUUGGAUAGCCUUGCUCUGGACAAUGACCGCCCACUUAUUUUCCUGGGGUAACUUGCAAGAGUGGGUGAGUUAUCUCUUAUUUUAGGAAUCUCUUAGCUCUGAUGGGCCUUGCAAAGCAUGUUGGAAGCGAGGGUUUGGGGAAAAUGACAAACAGGGGGGAGCCACUUCCGAAACAACGAGUUUUCCUAACUAGCUCAUUGGAAAGACAGAAGGAUUUUCUCUGCAGCAAAAUUAAUUUGGGCAAAGUUGGACGAUCGAGUAGACAUGGUAUUAGCACCUACUAUGAGUAAUCAUAGGGCCCCAAAUUUCAUUGUUUGACUCCCCUUUAAAAGCUUAAGAAUAAAGAAAUGAGAGUAGUCCCCCACGAGAGUUUAGGAAAAAUGAAUCAGGAGUGUGUAAGCUGUAGCAUAGCGAAGGAGAGGAGACAUCCCGUAUCAAGGUGAGAUUUCAUAUGCUGGUUUGUCGUCUCCAUAAUAAUGCGUCAGUGCUGGGCUGUUUGGGUGGGGGCAUCCGAGACCGAGCCUGGUUUAGUUGGGCCAGAGGGAGGUUUCCAUGAAACCUCUACUCUUGCUCCUUGGCCAGAGUAAUGCGUUAGCCCUAGCAUCAUUAAAGGGCUCUGCAGGAGAAUGAAUGAUAGGCCUGUUCGCCAGGCUUGCUGUCGGUUUCGCGUUUGUUUCCCUUGCUGCUGGUUGCUGAUUUGUUUCUCCCGAUGGAUGCCAAAAUCCUUGCCAUGAGAGAUCUUGUUUCCUUUUUCUAAACUCCUGUAUUGUUGUGGCGCCUGGCGGGCUCAGUCGGUGGAGCCUGCGACUCUUGAUCUUGGGGUUGUGAGUUUGAGCCCCACGUUGGGUGUAGAGAUGACUUAAACAAACCAACAAACAAAACUCCUGUGUUGUUGCACAUAAUACGCACCGUCACUUGGUGUUUGUUAGUUGAUACAGUUAGUGGCUAAUAAAAAAACCCCAAAACCAGACCGUCCUCUUUCCUCCCCUCCUGCCCUCCUUCCCCUUCUGGCCCUACUUUCUCCAUUUCAUCUAUGCUCUUUCCUUCCCUCCAUUUCGUUACUGCUUUUUAUUAAUUUUUUUUCCCUCUAAGGUAUGGGUUACAUAGAGAAGUCCUGAAGAAUGUGUGUUUAACUGGCCGGUCCGUGCCCUUUCUUUUUCUAAUAAAGCCUGGCCUUAACUGAGUGUCACUUUAGUGUUUUCUUUGACCACCUCUGCCCUUCCUUGGGCACGGUCUCCUCACACAGGUGGCCCUGGGGGGUGGAGGGCCCUCACGUGGUACCCAGUGGCUGGCUCAGCACAGACUUGCCUUGGACAAGGGCCAGGCCUGGGGCUGGAGCUGGGCAAACACCGUUCCACCGGGAGCUGAUUGGAUGGAGGCCCAGGGUGGAGUACCCAUGGGCUCAAUGGAGGCCUGGUUUUACUUAAGAUAUUCCAAAGAGUGAAGGGGGAAGUAAACAGUCUGCUAAUUAAAUCUGUAGGUGGCCGUAAAUUCAGAGGUGUUGCAAAGCCCUCUGCACACAUCGAGGACGUUGGGAAAACACAAAGAGCCGUAGAAAGGUGAGGCAAGGCUUGGGGAGAUGAGAUUCCGCCUGGAAAAGUACAAGCCGCCAUCUGGAGAGCAAUUAGCCAUGGUAGUGUGCUCCGUGGGGCGUAAGUCAGUGGCGCUGUGAUUGACUUGGAGCCAGAACUGUUAAGUCCUGUUUCUUGUUCUUGAUAGUUAGUAGUAAUCAUUUAUUUUUUUUAACCCCUAAAUGUAUUGCAUAGGAAUCAAGCCAGUCCCACUAUACUCUGUGUUUGUAAGGCUUGGCCUGAAGGGUGAGCAGAUAAGAAAGAAGUGUGUUCCUCAAAUUACUUGCCCUCUGCUUAUGUUUCCUUUGGCUGUGUACCCCUAGUGUGGCCAGGGGGCCGGGAUCUUAGAGGUUCGUUCUGAGGACUGGAAGCAUGGCUGGCCAGCUGGUGGGGGCAGGCGCCUGCUUGGUGUGGAUCGUAAGGCACCUUGCUUCUGGGUGGGUGUAAGUCCACCGGGAGGGCACGUGCAGUUGGUCUCAGGGGCACCCCUCGGUUUAUAGGUUUAUAGAUCUGCCUCAGCCUUUGUGGCCUUGCUUCUUCCUAGGAUCCCCAUAAUCAUACAAAUAUGCUUGUAGUGCUCUGCACUGACUUCCAUUGGCCAGUUUGAAAAACUAAACCUAGUGAUGGGAGACACGAUUGCCUUGAGGGUGAAGAGCUGGUUUUUGGUGUUAGAUCUCUCUGUUCAAGUCUCUGGGCAAUCUUGACCACCUUGCUUCAUUUCUUAGCUGCCAUUUCCUUAUCUGUUAAAUGGCAACCAUAGGGUUGAGGAGGUAUUCUAGAUGGAGAACUUUGCUCAGUAGGGAACUUCAGCUGGAUAACCAUUCGCCGUCCUUGAAGUAAGUGCAGGUCAUGUUCAAGACCUUUUCCGUAUGAGUUCAGAGGAGACCCUCCCAGGUGAGGUCGUCCUGGAAGGUGGCACUGAACAGUGGACAAGAGCCAUGAGAGCAAGGAUGCAUCCGGUCCUGCCGUGCUCGUGCUUGGACAGGACCUAAGUUCACUUGUGAGUUUCCUGAUGUGGUUGCUUGAACGCCAAGUUAUCCUCUUGCCUUCUGACGUGCUAGAGUAAAUAAACGUUUGCAGAGAAUUUACAAAAGCAAUGAUUGCAGCCAGUAAACCAUGUGAUGGUCAUGAUGGAGACUGGGGGGGUGGUGGCGGUCACAGAAGGUUUGGAUCUUGCCUGUGAGAGCAUCUUGCAUUGUCUCUUGUGGACGUUCCUCCGAGAAGGAAGGGGCACGACCCAGCCUUUCUCUGGAGUUGGAGGAGGAAGAUGGCCAGGUUGGAGGUGUCGGGCUUACUGUGCAUAAACACAUGUCUGCGUGUGCCGCUUUGCAGUGACUGUGACUCUCUGUGUUUGAGGAAGGACUUCUGGGGAGAAGGGCGGGGCUGCUGGGUGACCUGAUUUGUUCCCUCUGUUCCCUUCUGGCCUAGACUGGGCAGGUAGCCCUGACCCACAAGGUCUUAAACUGCCCGAAAGGAAAUCCAUUUGCUGAUAGGGAAGAUACACUUAGAGAUAAAGAAGAGAAUGUUUUGUUACAGCUUCCUCCUCAGCCUGCCUCCAGAGCUGGUGACUGGACCAUUCUUUCUGGGUUCCUGAAAUCUCAUCCUUGGAACUCAAACCCCGACCAUAAUUACCCUGGUGACUGUCUCCUAAUUGUUUUAUCUGCCUUCAUUUUCUCUUCCCUUCCCAGUGGGACCGAGGAGCCUUUGAGGACAGGCCUCAAGACCUCUCUUUAUUUUCCACCACACGGGCUCCCUAAAAACCUGGCUGAAGGAUUUAAGAGGUGUUUCAUUUCUAUAACUUUUUUACUUAUUUAUUUUUAAAAGCCUAUUUAUUUAUUUUGAGAGAUAGAGGGAGAGAGAGUGUGUGUGUGAGGGGAAAGGGGCAGAGAUAGAGAGGGAGAGAGAGCAUCCCAAGCAGGCUCCAUGCUGUCAGCACAGAGCCCGAUGGAGGGCUCGAACCCACAAACUGGGAGAUCAUGACCUGAGUUGAAAUCAAGAGUUAGAUACUCAACCAACUGAGCCACCCAGGUGCCCUUAAGAUUUUUUUUUAAUGUUUAUUUUACUUAUUGAGAGAGAGAGAGAGGAAGAGAGAAUCCCAAGUAGGCUCAGCACUGUCAAUGCAGAGCCUGACUUGGGGCUCGAUAUCAGGAACCGUGAGAUCAUGACCUGAGCCAAAAUCAAGUUGGACGCUUAAUGGACUGAGCCACCCAGGCGCCCCACAUGUUUAUUACUUAAAUAAUGAAUUGUUUGUAGUUAAAAAAAAAAUUUUUUUUUUUAAUGUUUAUUUUUGAGAGAGAGAGAGAGACCGAGUGUGAGCAGAGGAGUGGCAGAGAGAGAGGGAGACACGGAAUCCGAAGCAGGCUCCAGGCUCUGAGCUGUCAGCACAGAGCCCGGUGCGCGGCUCGAAGUCACAGACUGUGAGAUCAUGACCUGAGCCGGAGUCGGACGCUUAACCGUCUGAGCCACCCAGCCGCCCCUAGAUUGUUUGUUGUUUAAAUUGCCUCUGUCGGGAGUCUGUAGGACUCUAUUUUUAGCGCUUUCCACUAGGCCUUGCAACUAUGGCACUGCUUCUUGCAAAGUUGAGGUGGGUGAGAGGCCUUCCCUGAGGGUCUAAUAACCUGGGUCUCCCUCAGCCCCCCUGCCAAAACUUGCUUUCUAGAACAUGCCUGGGUGUCAGCAUGAACGAGUUCCAGUGAGUAUGAUGAUGAGCUGUAGCUCAUGGUGAGGCAAGGAAGCCCCAGCUGCUGGGUCUGCAGGGGUGACUGCCUCUGGGCAAGAGUGUGUUAAAUUGAUUCUCUGAGCUGCAGCCCACCUCUCAGGUGUCAGCUCCUAAGUGGGUGGCCCUGGCGUCUUUGGGAGUUCUUGGAAGCCUGACAGAAGACCAGGAAACAGAGACCACAAGCUUUUGAGAAUCCCACAGAUAUGCUGUGAGGGUAAAGUAUGUGAUGAUCUAUGUGACCCCCCCCCCCCCCAGACUUACUGAAGGAUUCCUUCAUGUGGGUAUUGGAGUGGUGUGUAAGACUGGGAAGCAUUAAUAUCUUAUUUUAUUUUUACUAUUUAUGUGUGUAUGUAUGUAUGCAUUUAUUUAUUUAGUUUUAGUUUUUAAAUUAAUCUCUACACCCAAUGUGGGGCUUGAACUCACAACCCUGAGAUCAAGAGUCAUAUACUUUACUGACUGAGCCAGUCUGGUGCCCCUAUAUUGUUUUAUUUUUCAUUUCAUUUUAUUUAUUUUUUAAAUACUUGUGGGGAAUCUUUAUUUAUUUGGAGAGAGAAUGGGUGGAAGUGAGCAAGGUGCAGAGAGAGAGAGAGAGAGAGAAGGAGAGAGAGAAGCAGGGCUCACCUGAAGGGGGUGGGGUGGGGCUUGUGCUCACCGGAUUCGGGCCUCAAACUCAACAAACCAUGAGAUCAUGACCUGAGCUGAAGUUGGACAUUUAAUCGACUGAGUCCCCUGGGUGCCCCGUGAUUCUUUUUCUUUUCACAAUGACGUAAAAGAUUUAGAAGGUCAUUAAUUUGUCGAAUGAACUCAGCUGGUGGAGCCCCUGGCCACAGACAAAUAGUUACAUAUAAGCUGGACCAGAAGUGUCCACCGUGCAGUAUGUGUUCAUCAGAGUCAGUAGAAACAGGUGAUUGGGCUUGUGCUCUCUGCUCUUUACGCCUCUACUUACCUCUUGUCCUUCCCUCCUUAGUCCGCUGUUGUGGGUUCCUGAUCGUGUUUGGUUAUUUGUCUGCUCAAAGCCAGUGGUGCUGUGUGGGAGCACAUAUCUGCUAGCCAGGCCCUAACAGGAAAGCAUGGCUGUGAGUGCCUGGGUGAUGAGGCCAGGUGAACCAGGUUCAAAGUCACCAGGUGAUGAGGCCAGGUGAACCAGGUUCAAAGCAAGUAUGUUCACUUGGGUGGGGUAUUUAACAUCUGCCCCCCCCCCCCCCGUUCUUCUUGUGCAAGAUGAGGGGGGGAUAAUGAGCCCCUCAUGUAGGGUUAAUAGCACAGACUAGCAUCAGACUGCCUGCGUUUGAAUUCUGGCCCCACUGCUGCGGCUUCAUAACUUUGAGCAAGUCACUUGACUCUGCCUCAGUUGGUGAAUCUGCAAAAUAGGAUGCAAAUAGUUUUUCAUCGGAAUGUUGGGAGGAGUAAAUGGCUCAUAUGAUAGACGUUUAGAAUAGGGGCAAGGCAGACACCAAGUCUGUGUAACUUUUUGGUUUAAUGAACUACCUAUAGGGAC